This 30-nucleotide non-coding RNA is filed under the name Rattus norvegicus (Norway rat). The record is from RNAcentral. Lineage: Eukaryota; Metazoa; Chordata; Mammalia; Rodentia; Muridae.
UAGGUGCUCGUGCAUACAUGGACUUCCUUC